ACAAAACGGAGAAAUACAAUGCUGAAGAUGGGGUGAGUAAUCACAUCCCUAUUCAGAUGAGGCUGCAGCAAAGUGGAAGACAAACAAUCGCAAGAUGGGUCAAGGCUACUUUCUGCAGAGAAGGGCAUGUGAUAUUAUCUGAUGAGAGACAUGUGAUUGUUCCUUCUUUCCAGCAGCAAGUAAGCCAGAUGGGUUUGAUGAACUUGGAAAAAUGGAAACGUUACCAAGGAAGUCAGUUGCUGAUGGUGUACAUCUCCAGAAGACAGCAUCGCCAGCAAAAAAAAAAAAACAAAAACAAAGUAUUACACCAACGUAGAAAAGUGCUGAGCUGGCAGUUAAAUGGAACCUUUUCUCAGACAAUGCCACGCAAUUGCUUUCCACCAGAUCCUGACUACUUUCUGGGACUCAUCAGGAUGAUGCUGAACAUAUUUAAAUCUUCCCAUAAAAGGUUUAGUCUAAGUUGCUUCUCCAGUACUGUUUGAACAUUAAAUAUGCAAAUAAUCAUCAUUACACUUCCAACAAUUACACAUGUUUGCGAGCACCAUGUCAAGUGCUGGCAGCAGUGCAAUCAUUUGUAAAGACAAAUAUUCCAUUCCAAGAGAUGUCAUGCGGCUUCGAAGAUUCUUUUUUGUAUUAGUAGCCACACUGCUGCCUCAUAAAGUGUGCAAAUGAACGUGACAGUGCUGCCAAUAGCUGCCAGCUCCUUCCUCUCAGCAGAGCAGAUGUCAAUCAACCAUCCCAAACAGACAAGGCCUCAGUACUGCCGCAGACGUUAAACAUGUAGAUAGAGAGGGAAGCUACAAGCAAGGCAGGCAGCUCACAGACUCAGCUUCUCCCCUCUCCCUUCCCUCUCCCUUACUCUUUUCUUACUAUCCUCCUCUGCCUACUCCUUUUCCUUCUCUCUCCCUCCCUCUUCUCCCUUUCUCUUUCCUACACUCUCCCUUUUCUCUCUUUCUUCGUCUCUCCUACCAGCCCCCUUGCUCCUCUGCUCUCUUCCUCUCUCGGCCUCAGGCCUUUCGAAUAUUUUAAUUCCUGAUUUCUGACUAUAUUAUCAUGUGUUUGUAACAGGCGAAUUGUAAUUUGUAGCUCUGAGGUGAUAUGAAAAGCUGUCUGGAACCAUAGGACAGCUGUAAGCAUGUGGCAGGUUUUCUUUUUUAACCUCUUUCUUUUUCUCUCAUAUGAUUUUUUUCUCCUUUCUUUUGCCUUCUUUUCCUUUCCUUUCCCUUCCCCUUUCUUCCUUUCCCUUCCUUUUUCUUCCUUUCCCUUCCCUUCCCUUCUCUCCUUUUCCAUUCCCCUCUCUGCUCUCUAUGUAGUUAUGGAUAAUUGUCACCAUUUACUUUUAUCAUAACCAAAGUAGCAGCUUAGGAAAGCUGUGACUUUAGUCAAGACUAAUCUUCCUUUCUCCUGAAGUGGGAAAAUCCCAAGUAUUUCAGGGUCCUAUUGAUAACCCUUGUGCUUCUUUUCCAUAAAAGACGGAUGACU
RNAcentral lists this long non-coding RNA (1482 nucleotides) under Phascolarctos cinereus (koala). Its description in RNAcentral is "lncRNA (ENSPCIG00000015528.2)". The record is from RNAcentral. Lineage: Eukaryota; Metazoa; Chordata; Mammalia; Diprotodontia; Phascolarctidae.